CCUAUGUGACGUUCGAGGACAUCAGUCGACUUGGAGUCUUCCGGGAUCAGACGGCCAUCAUUGUCAAAGCUCCCGAGGACACUAAGAUGGACGUUCCUGCUCCCACAGAGGAGAGCGUUGAACUCCGUCUGAAGGCAGUGAAAGGUCCCAUCUUGGUGAUAACCUGUGAGGUUGGCUCGGACGACGCUGUGACCUCUGACCCCAUGCAGAGUAUUACCUCGUUUUUAACUCUGAACGAAAGCCGCAUCAGGACGACGGCGCUGCACGAAAGGUCACUCACUGACCUGGAGAGCUCAUGAACACCAGCUGACCUCCAGGGGGCGCCGGCGUGUUGCUGCAUGUGUCUGAUAAAUGCACACGGGGAGAACAUGAGGAGGUAUCUGCUGACGGUGGCUCACUUUAACUCACGCUCGAUGAUGUGACGACAUGACAGCAGCAAGCUCCUCCUACCAGAGGAAACAGUCUGAGCACAGGAAAGGAAAAAAAACAGUUUUCAUCUGGACCAAUGAAACGGCUUUAACCUGCUGAGCUCAGUUUGAUGCACAGUGCCUGUAUUUCACUGUUUGUCUUUCUGUCCUUUGCUUUGUGUUUUUAAUGUAUAAAUGUUUACUUCUUCAUCUCACAAAUACCUCAAAUAUACUUGGACCAAUAAAGUUUUACUUUAAAGUUGUGAAUCACUUCCUGUUUUCAUUCAUGAGAAAAAAGCUCCAACAAUUGUUGAGCAGCUGAAUGUCUGAAUG
Molecule: long non-coding RNA, 740 nt
Organism: Pelmatolapia mariae (spotted tilapia)
Lineage: Eukaryota; Metazoa; Chordata; Actinopteri; Cichliformes; Cichlidae
Exons: 3
Source: RefSeq, a predicted model, not a curated record